Molecule: microRNA precursor, 79 nt
Filed under: Loxodonta africana (African savanna elephant)
Lineage: Eukaryota; Metazoa; Chordata; Mammalia; Proboscidea; Elephantidae
Description: miRNA (ENSLAFG00000033194.1)
Rfam family: Nuclear RNase P
About the family: Ribonuclease P (RNase P) is a ubiquitous endoribonuclease, found in archaea, bacteria and eukarya as well as chloroplasts and mitochondria. Its best characterised activity is the generation of mature 5'-ends of tRNAs by cleaving the 5'-leader elements of precursor-tRNAs.
Source: RNAcentral
CGGCGGAUGCCUCCUUCGCCGGAGCUUGGAACAGACUCACGGCCAGCGAAGUGAGUUCAAUGGCUGAGGUGAGGUACCC